CCCUUAGAUGUCCUGGGCCGCACGCGCGCUACAAUGAUGAAUGCAACGAGCUCUACCCUUGACCGAAAGGCCCGGGUAAACUUGUGAAACUUCAUCGUGAUGGGGAUAGAUUAUUGCAAUUAUUAAUCUUCAACGAGGAAUUCCUAGUAAGCGCGAGUCAUCAGCUCGCGUUGAUUACGUCCCUGCCCUUUGUACACACCGCCCGUCGCUCCUACCGAUUGAAUGGUCCGGUGAAAUCUUCGGAUUGCUGACCAAGAUCCAGCAAUGGAGCUUGGUUGCGAGAAGUUGAUUAAACCUUAUUAUUUAGAGGAAGGAGAAGUCGUAACA
Molecule: ribosomal RNA, 327 nt
Filed under: uncultured eukaryote
Lineage: Eukaryota
Description: partial 18S ribosomal RNA
Rfam family: Eukaryotic small subunit ribosomal RNA
Source: RNAcentral